AUAACGACAAACCGGCGUAAAAUAUGGCUAGAGAUUCAUAAUAUUUUAAAUAUCAAAAUUCAUUUAGCCUAGUUGUAAAACACUCAGACAAUGGAGAAAAUCAACACAGAUAUUCUUAAUAUUAUAUUCUUGACCACACGAAAGCUUAGAAACAAACUAGGAUUAGAUACCCUACUAUGCUAAGCCCUGAACAUUGAAAGCUAUCUAUACUAUACUUUCCGCCAGAGAACUACGAGUGAAAAACUUAAAACUCAAAG
Molecule: ribosomal RNA, 257 nt
Filed under: Podarcis siculus ciclopica
Lineage: Eukaryota; Metazoa; Chordata; Lepidosauria; Squamata; Lacertidae
Description: partial 12S ribosomal RNA
Source: RNAcentral